UACGUAGGGCGCAAGCGUUGUCCGGAAUUAUUGGGCGUAAAGAGCUCGUAGGUGGCUUGUCGCGUCUGUCGUGAAAGCCCGGGGCUUAACUCCGGGUCUGCGGUGGAUACGGGCAGGCUAGAGGCAGGUAGGGGGAGAAUGGAAUUCCCGGUGUAGCGGUGAAAUGCGCAGAUAUCGGGAGGAACACCGGUGGCGAAGGCGGUUCUCUGGGCCUGUACUGACGCUGAGGAGCGAAAGCGUGGGGAGCGAACAGG
This 254-nucleotide ribosomal RNA is filed under the name uncultured bacterium. RNAcentral's name for it is "partial 16S ribosomal RNA". It matches the Rfam family "Bacterial small subunit ribosomal RNA", at positions 524 to 776 of the family's 1533-position model. The record is from RNAcentral.